RNAcentral lists this ribosomal RNA (374 nucleotides) under uncultured bacterium. RNAcentral describes it as "bacterial SSU rRNA". It matches the Rfam family "Bacterial small subunit ribosomal RNA", at positions 525 to 896 of the family's 1533-position model. The record is from RNAcentral.
ACGUAGGGCGCAAGCGUUGUCCGGAAUUAUUGGGCGUAAAGAGCUCGUAGGCGGUUUGUCGCGUCUGCUGUGAAAACCUAAGGCUCAACCUUGGGCUUGCAGUGGGUACGGGCAGACUAGAGUGCGGUAGGGGUGACUGGAGUUCCUGGUGUAGCGGUGGAAUGCGCAGAUAUCAGGAGGAACACCGAUGGCGAAGGCAGGUCACUGGGCCGCAACUGACGCUGAGGAGCGAAAGCAUGGGGAGCGAACAGGAUUAGAUACCCUGGUAGUCCAUGCCGUAAACGUUGGGCACUAGGUGUGGGGCUCAUUCCGCGAGUUCCGUGCCGCAGCAAACGCAUUAAGUGCCCCGCCUGGGGAGUACGGCCGCAAGGCUA